RNAcentral lists this ribosomal RNA (406 nucleotides) under uncultured bacterium. RNAcentral's name for it is "partial 16S ribosomal RNA". It matches the Rfam family "Bacterial small subunit ribosomal RNA", at positions 30 to 526 of the family's 1533-position model. The record is from RNAcentral.
AUUGAACGCUGGCGGCAGGCCUAACACAUGCAAGUCGAGCGAGUGGCGGACGGGUGAGUAAUGUAUGGGGAUCUGCCCGAUAGAGGGGGAUAACUACUGGAAACGGUGGCUAAUACCGCAUACCAUCGGAUGUACCCAUAUGGGAUUAGCUAGUAGGUGGGGUAAAGGCUCACCUAGGCGACGAUCCCUAGCUGGUCUGAGAGGAUGAUCAGCCACAAUGGAACUGAGACACGGCCCAGACUCCUACGUGAGGCAGCAGUGGGGAAUAUUGCACAAUGGGCGCAAGCCUGAUGCAGCCAUGCCGAGUGUAUGAAGAAGGCCUUAGGGUUGUAAAGUACUUUCAGCGGGGAGGCGUUACCCGCAGAAGAAGCACCGGCUAACUCCGUGCCAGCAGCCGCGGUAAUUC